RNAcentral lists this transfer RNA (70 nucleotides) under Loxodonta africana (African savanna elephant). It matches the Rfam family "tRNA". From Rfam's summary of the family: Transfer RNA (tRNA) molecules are approximately 80 nucleotides in length. Their secondary structure includes four short double-helical elements and three loops (D, anti-codon, and T loops). The record is from Rfam by way of RNAcentral. Lineage: Eukaryota; Metazoa; Chordata; Mammalia; Proboscidea; Elephantidae.
GGUUUGGUGGUUCAGUGGUAGAACUUUUGCCUUCCAUGCAGAAGACCAGGUUCUAUUUCUGGCCAAUGCA